GGGGGGGGGGGGGGGGGGGGGGGGGGGGGGGGGGGGGGGGGGGAGGACAGUGAGAGGGUGCGCUUGCGGGGGGCUGGUGGGGGACGGGUGCGGGCUACAUCGUCCUCUACUUUUACGUGGUGGAUCGCUGGGGGCGACUUACGCUAAUACCUCAUACGCCCUACGGGUGAAAGCAUGAUUGUUUCGUCCCUUGCGCGAUUUAUUUAGCCGACGACGGAUUUGCUAGUCGGGGGGGCAAAGGCCCACCAAGGCGACGAUCCGUAGCUGGUCUGAGAGGAUGAUCAGCCACACUGGAACUGAGACACGGUCCAGACUCCUACGGGAGGCAGCAGUGGGGAAUAUUGGACAAUGGGCGCAAGCCUGAUCCAGCCAUACCGCGUGGGUGAAGAAGGCCUUCGGGUUGUAAAGCCCUUUUGUUGGGAAAGAAAAGCAGCAGGUUAAUACCCCGCUGUUCUGACGGUACCCAAAGAAUAAGCACCGGCUAACUUCGUG
RNAcentral lists this ribosomal RNA (492 nucleotides) under uncultured bacterium. Its description in RNAcentral is "partial 16S ribosomal RNA". It matches the Rfam family "Bacterial small subunit ribosomal RNA", at positions 27 to 507 of the family's 1533-position model. The record is from RNAcentral.